RNAcentral lists this ribosomal RNA (274 nucleotides) under uncultured bacterium. RNAcentral's name for it is "partial 16S ribosomal RNA". It matches the Rfam family "Bacterial small subunit ribosomal RNA", at positions 523 to 796 of the family's 1533-position model. The record is from RNAcentral.
AUACGGGGGGAGCGAGCGUUGUUCGGAUUUAUUGGGCGUAAAGGGCGUACAGGCGGUAAUGUAAGUCAGAUGUGAAAUGCUUCGGCUCAACCGAGGAUCUGCAUUUGAUACUGCAUUACUUGAGUACAGGAGAGGAGAGCGGAAUUCUAGGUGUAGCGGUGGAAUGUGUAGAUAUCUGGAAGAACACCAGUGGCGAAGGCGGCUCUCUGGCCUGAUACUGACGCUGACGCGCGAAAGCUAGGGGAGCAAACAGGAUUAGAUACCCCAGUAGUCC